RNAcentral lists this transfer RNA (78 nucleotides) under Vibrio phage vB_ValS_X1. RNAcentral describes it as "tRNA-Asn". It matches the Rfam family "tRNA". Rfam says of the family: Transfer RNA (tRNA) molecules are approximately 80 nucleotides in length. Their secondary structure includes four short double-helical elements and three loops (D, anti-codon, and T loops). Lineage: Duplodnaviria; Heunggongvirae; Uroviricota; Caudoviricetes; Demerecviridae. The record is from RNAcentral.
GGGUGAGAAGCAUAAGUGAGUAUAUGCGGUCGGCUGUUAACCGAAUGAUAGAGGGUUCGAGUCCCUCCUUGCCCGCCA